Molecule: long non-coding RNA, 698 nt
Filed under: Gallus gallus (chicken)
Lineage: Eukaryota; Metazoa; Chordata; Aves; Galliformes; Phasianidae
Source: RNAcentral
CAAGUGAGGAACAGAUAAACUGAUCUGGAGGUUACAGCCUCACGAAGCAGAGCCCAGCAGAGGACAGAACUCUUCUCCAGGCAGGUUUGAGAAUCCAAGGGACUGCACUGCCACUCAGCUUCCACCAAUCCCCCACCAAACCUAGAGAUAAGAGCAGCAAGGCAUAGCACUCUCCUGUUACCAAAGGAGGUACCUGGAUAGUGAUGGUUCCCUUCCCACUGUCCGUCUGCAGGUGAAUCUCCAUCUCUGGCAAGGCCUUCCCUUCUGCCAUUAGCCGAUGACGCAGUUUCUCCAGUGCAUCGCUGCCGUUGGAGAUCAGCUCCCGGAUAAACACCUCCUUCUCCGAGUACAAGGAACGGGCAACAAUAUCCAGCAGUUUCUUUGUUUCAGCCUGAAACUCAUGCUUGGAGGCUGCACCUUUCACAUUCUCCGUGUUGCUGAUGAUGGUGUGCAGGGGCUCUUCUUCCUUGCUCUCCGCCGUCUGCGUGCUGUACGCCCGGCAAGCAGAAAUGCAGGCAGCAGGAAUGCGGUGCGGGAGCCUCCGAGAACAGAGUACUUCUCUUUGGAGGCAUGCCGGUCCUUUUGCUGCGGCCGCCCGCGGUCCGAUCCCGGCACGCAGCAGAGCCGCGAGGCACCGCCCCCUCCGCGCCGCCGCCGCCGCCAUGCCGAGCUCCCGCCUCAGCGGCGCCGCCGCCCCC